UCCUCGUGCGCUGUGCGAGCUGCGCGGUGGCAUCAACCCGCGCCGCACGGGAGCGUCCUCAGAGCCUGAGGAACGUGGCUUCCUCACCUGUAGGAUGGGCUCCGGCCCGGCGGGGCGUGUGAGGACUGAAUGAGGUCUUCCUAAGAGUUACAUAACUGCCCCCAAAGCCAGGGGGCAGGAGCAGGGCCAGCCGUGGGAGAUGUUUCCAAAGAGGAAUGCUGAGGAAGGACUGACCUUGAGAAGACAGGGAGUUCGCCAGGCCGUGGAAUGUUCCCAGCCUCGGGGCUCAAACAAAAACUGUAUUCAGAGAGCUUCAGUUCCGCGGUCUGAGACCCAGAGCAGCAUUCUUCAGACUGUGGGUCAUGACCAUUGGUAGCUUGUGUCAUCAAUGUAGUGGCUCACACCCAGCAUUAAAACAAAAAAAAGCUGAACAAUAAAGUAGGCUAUCCAAGCACAUCAGACAUAAUAAAAGUCCGUGUUAUUUCA
Ailuropoda melanoleuca (giant panda) is the source of this 486-nucleotide long non-coding RNA. RefSeq lists it as uncharacterized. The record is from RefSeq and is a predicted model, not a curated record. The transcript is spliced from 3 exons. Lineage: Eukaryota; Metazoa; Chordata; Mammalia; Carnivora; Ursidae.